This 791-nucleotide ribosomal RNA is filed under the name uncultured bacterium. RNAcentral describes it as "bacterial SSU rRNA". It matches the Rfam family "Bacterial small subunit ribosomal RNA", at positions 8 to 796 of the family's 1533-position model. The record is from RNAcentral.
AGAGUUUGAUCAUGGCUCAGAUUGAACGCUGGCGGCAUGCCUUACACAUGCAAGUCGGACGGCAGCGCGGGGGCAACCCUGGCGGCGAGUGGCGAACGGGUGAGUAAUACAUCGGAACGUGUCCUGGAGUGGGGGAUAGCCCGGCGAAAGCCGGAUUAAUACCGCAUACGAUCUCUGGAUGAAAGCGGGGGACCGAAAGGCCUCGCGCUCAAGGAGCGGCCGAUGGCGGAUUAGCUAGUUGGUGGGGUAAAGGCCCACCAAGGCGACGAUCCGUAGCUGGUCUGAGAGGACGACCAGCCACACUGGGACUGAGACACGGCCCAGACUCCUACGGGAGGCAGCAGUGGGGAAUUUUGGACAAUGGGGGCAACCCUGAUCCAGCAAUGCCGCGUGUGUGAAGAAGGCCUUCGGGUUGUAAAGCACUUUUGUCCGGAAAGAAAACUUUCGCCCGAAUACGGUGGAGGGAUGACGGUACCGGAAGAAUAAGCACCGGCUAACUACGUGCCAGCAGCCGCGGUAAUACGUAGGGUGCGAGCGUUAAUCGGAAUUACUGGGCGUAAAGCGUGCGCAGGCGGUGAUGUAAGACCGAUGUGAAAUCCCCGGGCUUAACCUGGGAACUGCAUUGGUGACUGCAUUGCUGGAGUAUGGCAGAGGGGGGUGGAAUUCCACGUAGCAGUGAAAUGCGUAGAGAUGUGGAGGAACACCGAUGGCGAAGGCAGCCCCCUGGGCCAAUACUGACGCUCAUGCACGAAAGCGUGGGGAGCAAACAGGAUUAGAUACCCUAGUAGUCC